AGGAUUAACGCUGGCGGCGUGCCUAACACAUGCAAGUCGAACGAGGUAGCAAUACCUAGUGGCAGACGGGUGAGUAACGCGUGGUCAACCUACCGUUGAGUGGGGGAUAACUAGCCGAAAGGUUAGCUAAUACCGCAUACGAGUCUCGGGGGCAUCCCUGGGCCUUAAAAGGAGCAAUCCGCUCGAUGACGGGACCGCGUCCCAUUAGCUAGAUGGUGGGGUAACGGCCUACCAUGGCACCGAUGGGUAGCUGGUUUGAGAGAGCGACCAGCCACACUGGGACUGAGAAACGGCCCAGACUCCUACGGGAGGCAGCAGUGAGGAAUUUUCCGCAAUGGGCGAAAGCCUGACGGAGCGACGCCGCGUGUGGGAAGAAGGCCUUCGAGUCGUAAACCACUGUCGAAGGGGACGAUAAUGACGGUACCCUUGGAGGAAGCCCCGGCUAACUACGUGCCAGCAGCCGC
Molecule: ribosomal RNA, 464 nt
Filed under: uncultured bacterium
Lineage: Bacteria
Description: SSU rRNA
Rfam family: Bacterial small subunit ribosomal RNA
Source: RNAcentral